GGCAAUAUCUUGAGCUUCAAUCUUGGGGGUAUGGGGUGUAGUGCUGGGGUCAUAGCUAUUGAUCUUGCUAAAGAUUUGUUGCAAAUUCAUAGGAAUACUUGUGCUGUUGUUGUGAGUACAGAGAAUAUUACACAAAAUUGGUAUUUUGGGAACAAGAAGUCAAUGUUGAUACCAAAUUGUUUGUUUAGAGUUGGUGGUGCUGCAGUUUUGCUCUCAAAUAGAUCCACAGAUAAGAGGCGGGCUAAGUAUAAGCUUGUUCAUGUGGUUAGGACCCAUCGUGGAGCUGAUGAUAAGGCGUUUAGGUGUGUUUAUCAGGAGCAGGAUGAUGCUGGAAAAACUGGGGUUUCUUUGUCAAAAGAUCUAAUGGCAAUUGCAGGUGGAGCACUCAAGAUCAAUAUCACCACCUUGGGUCCUUUGGUUCUUCCAAUAAGUGAGCAACUUUUGUUCUUCGCAACUUUGGUAGCCAAGAAAAUGUUCAAUGCGAAAGUGAAGCCUUACAUCCCAGAUUUUAAGCUUGCAUUCGACCAUUUUUGCAUACAUGCUGGGGGAAGAGCUGUGAUCGAUGAGCUUGAGAAGAAUUUGCAACUUCUGCCCGUGCAUGUUGAAGCAUCGAGGAUGACUCUGCAUCGGUUUGGUAACACUUCAUCAAGCUCUAUUUGGUAUGAAUUGGCCUACACUGAAGCAAAGGGCAGGAUGCGAAAGGGAAACCGUGUGUGGCAGAUAGCUUUUGGAAGUGGUUUUAAGUGUAACAGUGCAGUGUGGGAGGCUCUGAGGAAUGUUAAGCCCUCUACUAGUAAUCCAUGGGAAGAUUGCAUUGACCGGUAUCCAGUGCAGUUAGUUCUGUAGUUCCUGAACAAUUUGAUUAGAGACUCGAUUUAGAGAAGGGUACUGUGAUAGAUUGACUGGAAACUACUCUGCUAUUUUGUUCUAGCCUGUGUUUAUUUUCCCUUUUUUUUUUUUUUCUGAUUUACUGUGUCCGGUCAUGCGUGAUUUUUCUCACAAGUCAUGUGUGAUUUAUCUCACAAGCCAGUGUCUCACAUCAUUUCUCAAGCUGGCCUCUCAAAUAAAAAAAAGAAAAGGCUAAAUCCCUGUUCUACUUCAAUGUUUUGAUAAAUAGAAGACACCAUAGUCAUACAUUCAGCAUUAUAAUUAUCAAA
This 1157-nucleotide unclassified non-coding RNA is filed under the name Hevea brasiliensis (rubber tree). The record is from RNAcentral. Lineage: Eukaryota; Viridiplantae; Streptophyta; Magnoliopsida; Malpighiales; Euphorbiaceae.